GGCUCUGUGGCGCAAUGGAUAGCGCAUUGGACUUCUAGCGUAGUGAAGUGAUUCAAAGGUUGUGGGUUCGAGUCCCACCAGAGUCA
RNAcentral lists this transfer RNA (86 nucleotides) under Podarcis muralis (Common wall lizard). It matches the Rfam family "tRNA". From Rfam's summary of the family: Transfer RNA (tRNA) molecules are approximately 80 nucleotides in length. Their secondary structure includes four short double-helical elements and three loops (D, anti-codon, and T loops). RNAcentral also lists the same sequence under 1 other name. Lineage: Eukaryota; Metazoa; Chordata; Lepidosauria; Squamata; Lacertidae. The record is from Rfam by way of RNAcentral.